Molecule: ribosomal RNA, 466 nt
Filed under: uncultured bacterium
Lineage: Bacteria
Description: partial 16S ribosomal RNA
Rfam family: Bacterial small subunit ribosomal RNA
Source: RNAcentral
GACGAACGCUGGCGGUGUGCUUAACACAUGCAAGUCGAACGGUAAGGCCCUUUCGGGGGUACACGAGUGGCGAACGGGUGAGUAACACGUGAGUAACCUGCCCUCAUCUCUGGGAUAACAGUCGGAAACGGUUGCUAAUACUGGAUAUGAGCUUGCAAGGCAUCUUGUGGGUUGGAAAGAUUUUUUUGGUUGGGGAUGGACUCGCGGCCUAUCAGCUUGUUGGUGAGGUAGUGGCUCACCAAGGCUUCGACGGGUAGCCGGCCUGAGAGGGCGACCGGCCACAUUGGGACUGAGAUACGGCCCAAACUCCUACGGGGGGCAGCAGUGGGGAAUAUUGCACAAUGGACGGAAGUCUGAUGCAGCAACGCCGCGUGCGGGAUGACGGCCUUCGGGUUGUAAACCGCGUUCAAUUGUGACGAAGCUUUUUGUGACGGUAGCAGUAGAAGAAGCACCGGCUAACUACGUG